Molecule: ribosomal RNA, 1351 nt
Filed under: Salmonella enterica
Lineage: Bacteria; Pseudomonadati; Pseudomonadota; Gammaproteobacteria; Enterobacterales; Enterobacteriaceae
Description: partial 23S ribosomal RNA
Rfam family: Bacterial large subunit ribosomal RNA
Source: RNAcentral
GUGUGUUCCAGGUAAAUCCGGUUCACUUUAACACUGAGGCGUGAUGACGAGGCACUACGGUGCUGAAGCAACAAAUGCCCUGCUUCCAGGAAAAGCCUCUAAGCAUCAGGUAACAUCAAAUCGUACCCCAAACCGACACAGGUGGUCAGGUAGAGAAUACCAAGGCGCUUGAGAGAACUCGGGUGAAGGAACUAGGCAAAAUGGUGCCGUAACUUCGGGAGAAGGCACGCUGACACGUAGGUGAAGUGAUUUACUCAUGGAGCUGAAGUCAGUCGAAGAUACCAGCUGGCUGCAACUGUUUAUUAAAAACACAGCACUGUGCAAACACGAAAGUGGACGUAUACGGUGUGACGCCUGCCCGGUGCCGGAAGGUUAAUUGAUGGGGUCAGCGCAAGCGAAGCUCCUGAUCGAAGCCCCGGUAAACGGCGGCCGUAACUAUAACGGUCCUAAGGUAGCGAAAUUCCUUGUCGGGUAAGUUCCGACCUGCACGAAUGGCGUAAUGAUGGCCAGGCUGUCUCCACCCGAGACUCAGUGAAAUUGAACUCGCUGUGAAGAUGCAGUGUACCCGCGGCAAGACGGAAAGACCCCGUGAACCUUUACUAUAGCUUGACACUGAACAUUGAGCCUUGAUGUGUAGGAUAGGUGGGAGGCUUUGAAGUGUGGACGCCAGUCUGCAUGGAGCCGACCUUGAAAUACCACCCUUUAAUGUUUGAUGUUCUAACGUGGACCCGUGAUCCGGGUUGCGGACAGUGUCUGGUGGGUAGUUUGACUGGGGCGGUCUCCUCCUAAAGAGUAACGGAGGAGCACGAAGGUUGGCUAAUCCUGGUCGGACAUCAGGAGGUUAGUGCAAUGGCAUAAGCCAGCUUGACUGCGAGCGUGACGGCGCGAGCAGGUGCGAAAGCAGGUCAUAGUGAUCCGGUGGUUCUGAAUGGAAGGGCCAUCGCUCAACGGAUAAAAGGUACUCCGGGGAUAACAGGCUGAUACCGCCCAAGAGUUCAUAUCGACGGCGGUGUUUGGCACCUCGAUGUCGGCUCAUCACAUCCUGGGGCUGAAGUAGGUCCCAAGGGUAUGGCUGUUCGCCAUUUAAAGUGGUACGCGAGCUGGGUUUAGAACGUCGUGAGACAGUUCGGUCCCUAUCUGCCGUGGGCGCUGGAGAACUGAGGGGGGCUGCUCCUAGUACGAGAGGACCGGAGUGGACGCAUCACUGGUGUUCGGGUUGUCAUGCCAAUGGCACUGCCCGGUAGCUAAAUGCGGAAGAGAUAAGUGCUGAAAGCAUCUAAGCACGAAACUUGCCCCGAGAUGAGUUCUCCCUGAGACUUUAGGUCUCCUGAAGGAACGUUGAAGACGACGA